This is a long non-coding RNA of Suricata suricatta (meerkat), 694 nucleotides long. RefSeq lists it as uncharacterized. NCBI's taxonomy places the organism in Eukaryota, Metazoa, Chordata, Mammalia, Carnivora, Herpestidae. The record is from RefSeq and is a predicted model, not a curated record. The transcript is spliced from 3 exons.
UUUGUCAAAUGGGGAGGGGAGGGCCUGUCUGGGAAUGCCAGAGGGCCUCCCAGCAGUAGGGGGUCGUCCUGGGGCAAUAUGUCUCUGUUCCAGACCAGCCCCCCAUCUUCUCCCUCCAACGGCCCCUAACCCCAGAAGUUGAUUCUGCAGCUGAAAGUAAAUGAACAGCUGAAUUCGAAAUCGGGAUGGCUUAUUUCAUACUAACUCAGGGCAUCAAAUUGGGGUGCCUCUUUGCUUGACCCUCAUCCUUCCUCCUUUGAAACUUCCUCGCUGUCUUGGUCCCUAUCAACGACCGCCCUGUAAAGACCCCUCCACCUGGUCAUUGAAGAAGCUGCCUCCUGGCUGUCAGGAAGGGUUACAGGGAAGAAGACCCCGUCUGGGAGAGGGGGCCCGGUUGUCUCCGACCUCACAGCAAAUUGGUCCGAGGCCAGGAUCCGAAGCCAGGUCUCUCCUCCUCCACUGCCUGAGCAAUUUCUCCACUGAGACCUCCAAGCAAGUCUUCCAGACUCAAGUGUCCAGCUCAAGAGUGCCCUCCAACUCAAGGGAUUUACACCCACAGAGCUUCUCCUGGCCUUGCUGAGAGCCGGACCUCGGCCACCAGAGACGCCCCUCGCACAUCUGGCCCUCUCCUCGGCCUCUCGCUCUUACCAAGGGGGAAAAACACUGAGAUCGCCACGUGAGCCCUGAGCCCAGA